This 775-nucleotide ribosomal RNA is filed under the name uncultured Neocallimastigales. RNAcentral's name for it is "partial large subunit ribosomal RNA". It matches the Rfam family "Eukaryotic large subunit ribosomal RNA", at positions 26 to 643 of the family's 3401-position model. Lineage: Eukaryota; Fungi; Neocallimastigomycota; Neocallimastigomycetes; Neocallimastigales. The record is from RNAcentral.
CGUCUAUAUACGUAUAGCAUAUCAAUAAGCGGAGGAAAAGAAACUAACAAGGAUUCCCUUAGUAACGGCGAGUGAAGCGGGAAGAGCUCAAAUUUGAAAUCUUCAAGGUCCCACCUUGACGAAUUGUAGUUUAUAGAAGUGUUUUCUGUUAGUAGAGUGGCAAAAGUUCUUUGGAAUAGGACAUCAUAGAGGGUGAGAAUCCCGUAUUUGGUCAUUCCUCCUAGCGUUGUGACACACUUUCAACGAGUCGGAUUGUUUGGGAAUGCAGUCCAAAAUGGGUGGUAAAUUUCAUCUAAAGCUAAAUAUUGGCGAGAGACCGAUAGCGAACAAGUACCGUGAGGGAAAGAUGAAAAGAACUUUGAAAAGAGAGUUAAACAGUACGUGAAAUUGUCAAAAGGGAAGCGUUUGACACCAGUGUUGUUUUUCCGAAAAUCAAUUACGAAUGUUUUGUUUUUGAGGAGUUAUGACUUCAUCGGCUUGCUCCUUUCUUUAUGAAACUUUCUUAAUGCACUUUUCGGUUAACAAGUCAACAUCAAUUUCUUUUGUUGUAAAAGGGUAUGAGGAAGGUGGCUUUCUUUUCGGAGAAAGUGUUUAUAGCCUUGUGCCUCUGCAAUCGGAGAGAUUGAGGUCUGCAGCGUAGAUCCUUCGGGGUUAGAUACAUUUGUGCUAAGUUAUAGCUUUUCAUAGACAACUUGUUGACUAUGUUUAGUCUUGUAGCUUACUCGCUUAUCGCUAUUUUACCUACGCUUAGGAUGUUGAUAUGCAUGACUGAUAU